RNAcentral lists this ribosomal RNA (485 nucleotides) under uncultured bacterium. RNAcentral describes it as "partial 16S ribosomal RNA". It matches the Rfam family "Bacterial small subunit ribosomal RNA", at positions 29 to 523 of the family's 1533-position model. The record is from RNAcentral.
AGUGAACGCUGGCGGCGUGCUUAACACAUGCAAGUCGAACGAGAACGGAAUAUAGCUUGCUAUAUUUGUCAGCUAAGUGGCGCACGGGUGAGUCAUGUAUAGAUAACCUGCACUUCAGAAAGGAAUAACAGUUGGAAACGACUGCUAAUGCCCUAUAUGCCUUUAAUACAUAAGUAUGCAAGGGAAACGCUUUAGUGCUUAAGGAUGGGUCUGUAUGGUAUCAGCUUGUUGGUGAGGUAAUGGCUCACCAAGGCUAUGACGCCUAACUGGUUUGAGAGGAUGAUCAGUCACACGGGAACUGAGACACGGUCCAGACUCCUACGGGAGGCAGCAGUGGGGAAUAUUGCACAAUGGACGAAAGUCUGAUGCAGCAACGCCGCGUGGAGGAUGACACAUUUCGGUGCGUAAACUCCUUUUAUAUAGGAAGAUAAUGACGGUACUAUAUGAAUAAGCACCGGCUAACUCCGUGCCAGCAGCCGCCGUAA